RNAcentral lists this ribosomal RNA (255 nucleotides) under uncultured bacterium. RNAcentral's name for it is "partial small subunit ribosomal RNA". It matches the Rfam family "Bacterial small subunit ribosomal RNA", at positions 26 to 284 of the family's 1533-position model. The record is from RNAcentral.
AGGACGAACGCUGGCGGCGUGCUUAACACAUGCAAGUCGAGCGGAAAGGCCCUUCGGGGUACUCGAGCGGCGAACGGGUGAGUAACACGUGAGUAACCUGCCCUAGGCUUUGGGAUAACCCUCGGAAACGGGGGCUAAUACUGGAUAUUCCCGCGGGAUCGCAUGGUUUUGUGGGGAAAGGUUUUCCGGCUUGGGAUGGGCUCGCGGCCUAUCAGCUUGUUGGUGGGGUGAUGGCCUACCAAGGCGACGACGGGU